RNAcentral lists this ribosomal RNA (425 nucleotides) under uncultured bacterium. Its description in RNAcentral is "partial 16S ribosomal RNA". It matches the Rfam family "Bacterial small subunit ribosomal RNA", at positions 354 to 796 of the family's 1533-position model. The record is from RNAcentral.
GUGGGGAAUCUUGCGCAAUGGGCGAAAGCCUGACGCAGCCAUGCCGCGUGAAUGAUGAAGGUCUUAGGAUUGUAAAAUUCUUUCACCGGGGACGAUAAUGACGGUACCCGGAGAAGAAGCCCCGGCUAACUUCGUGCCAGCAGCCGCGGUAAUACGAAGGGGGCUAGCGUUGCCCGGAAUUACUGGGCGUAAAGGGCGCGUAGGCGGACAGUUUAGUCAGAGGUGAAAGCCCAGGGCUCAACCUUGGAAUUACCUUUGAUACUGGCUGUCUUGAGUACGGGAGAGGUGAGUGGAACUCCGAGUGUAGAGGUGAAAUUCGUAGAUAUUCGGAAGAACACCAGUGGCGAAGGCGACUCACUGGCCCGUUACUGACGCUGAGGCGCGAAAGCGUGGGGAGCAAACAGGAUUAGAUACCCUAGUAGUCC